This 181-nucleotide non-coding RNA is filed under the name Clostridium cadaveris. Lineage: Bacteria; Bacillati; Bacillota; Clostridia; Eubacteriales; Clostridiaceae. The record is from RNAcentral.
UUAAAUAUAAAUCAGUAUAGUUACAAUAGUAUUAAAAGGGAAUAUGGUUAAAAGCCAUAACAGCCACCGCUACUGUAAAAUUGACGAAAGCUUUAAAGUUUACUCUACUAAUGUAUUUUGGGAAGGAAAAGCAAGUAGAAUGAUAUUAAGUCAGGAGACCUACUAUAUUGAUAUAUACUAG